UUGAAGUGUUAAAAUCCACGGCGUAAGAGCAAAGGGAAGGAAAUGUUCACCAAGGAUGAGAUAGCUGGCAGAGAUUCUACCUCCGCAGCCACUUUUCUCUCUGUGGAAAGAACCGGCCUUACAGCAUCAGCAUACAAACACCUCGCUAUUCAAUUAAAUUAAGGCCAGCUCGACACUAAAUCCAUGUGGCAGAGGCUGCCCACAUGACAAUUAGACUGUCCAACAGACAGAGGAAGAGGGAGGGACGAGAUAGUGGAGCAAUGCAGGCGGUGUUGGUAUAAAGGGAUGGCGCGGCGUUCACCUGAAUGCGCCGAUGUGUGACCACACGUGUCUGAGCCAAUGAGAGCACACAGGACGUUGUGAUGAAGAUUGACUUGUUGAGUAAUGAAAAGCCACAGCAGCCCUCCUCUGAGAGACAGAGCGAAGGAGAGGAACGAGAGAGCGAAGUAAUGAAGUAAUGAAGGAGAAAACGGCUCAAAGGCUC
Molecule: long non-coding RNA, 484 nt
Organism: Gasterosteus aculeatus aculeatus (three-spined stickleback)
Lineage: Eukaryota; Metazoa; Chordata; Actinopteri; Perciformes; Gasterosteidae
Source: Ensembl